CAGUCGCCGCGGUAAUACGGAGGGCGCGAGCGUUACCCGGAUUUACUGGGCGUAAAGGGCGUGUAGGCGGCCUGGGGCGUCCCAUGUGAAAGGCCACGGCUCAACCGUGGAGGAGCGUGGGAUACGCUCAGGCUAGAGGGCGGGAGAGGGUGGUGGAAUUCCCGGAGUAGCGGUGAAAUGCGCAGAUACCGGGAGGAACGCCGAUGGCGAAGGCAGCCACCUGGUCCACUUCUGACGCUGAGGCGCGAAAGCGUGGGGAGCAAACCGGAUUAGAUACCCCGGUAGUCCCUGUCUCUUAUAC
This 301-nucleotide ribosomal RNA is filed under the name uncultured bacterium. RNAcentral's name for it is "partial 16S ribosomal RNA". It matches the Rfam family "Bacterial small subunit ribosomal RNA", at positions 509 to 807 of the family's 1533-position model. The record is from RNAcentral.